This 484-nucleotide ribosomal RNA is filed under the name uncultured bacterium. Its description in RNAcentral is "partial 16S ribosomal RNA". It matches the Rfam family "Bacterial small subunit ribosomal RNA", at positions 29 to 507 of the family's 1533-position model. The record is from RNAcentral.
AUUGAACGCUGGCGGCAUGCUUUACACAUGCAAGUCGAACGGCAGCGCGGGCUUCGGCCUGGCGGCGAGUGGCGAACGGGUGAGUAAUGCAUCGGAACGUGCCCAGUAGUGGGGGAUAGCCCGGCGAAAGCCGGAUUAAUACCGCAUACAACCUGAGGGUGAAAGCGGGGGACCGAAAGGCCUCGCGCUAUUGGAGCGGCCGAUGUCGGAUUAGCUAGUUGGUGGGGUAAAGGCUUACCAAGGCGACGAUCCGUAGCUGGUCUGAGAGGACGACCAGCCACACUGGGACUGAGACACGGCCCAGACUCCUACGGGAGGCAGCAGUGGGGAAUUUUGGACAAUGGGGGCAACCCUGAUCCAGCCAUGCCGCGUGCGGGAAGAAGGCCUUCGGGUUGUAAACCGCUUUUGUUCGGGAAGAAAUCCUCUGGGCUAAUACCCCGGGGGGAUGACGGUACCGGAAGAAUAAGCACCGGCUAACUACGUG